RNAcentral lists this ribosomal RNA (394 nucleotides) under uncultured Gammaproteobacteria bacterium. RNAcentral describes it as "bacterial SSU rRNA". It matches the Rfam family "Bacterial small subunit ribosomal RNA", at positions 370 to 779 of the family's 1533-position model. The record is from RNAcentral. Lineage: Bacteria; Pseudomonadati; Pseudomonadota; Gammaproteobacteria.
AAUGGGCGAAAGCCUGACGGGGCAACGCCGCGUGAGGGAUGAAGGCCUCUGGGCUGUAAACCUCUUUUAUCAAGGAAGAAGAUCUGACGGUACUUGAUGAAUAAGCCACGGCUAAUUCCGUGCCAGCAGCCGCGGUAAUACGGGAGUGGCAAGCGUUAUCCGGAAUUAUUGGGCGUAAAGCGUCCGCAGGCGGCCCUUCAAGUCUGCUGUUAAAAAGUGGAGCUUAACUCCAUCAUGGCAGUGGAAACUGUUGGGCUUGAGUGUGGUAGGGGCAGAGGGAAUUCCCGGUGUAGCGGUGAAAUGCGUAGAUAUCGGGAAGAACACCAGUGGCGAAGGCGCUCUGCUGGGCCAUCACUGACGCUCAUGGACGAAAGCCAGGGGAGCGAAAGGGAUU